RNAcentral lists this ribosomal RNA (433 nucleotides) under uncultured bacterium. Its description in RNAcentral is "partial 16S ribosomal RNA". It matches the Rfam family "Bacterial small subunit ribosomal RNA", at positions 29 to 507 of the family's 1533-position model. The record is from RNAcentral.
AACGAACGCUGGCGGCAUGCCUAACACAUGCAAGUCGAACGAGACCUUCGGGUCUAGUGGCGCACGGGUGCGUAACGCGUGGGAACCUGCCCUUAGGUUCGGAAUAACUCCCCGAAAGGGGUGCUAAUACCGAAUAAUGUCUUCGGACCAAAGAUUUAUCGCGUUUGGAUGGGCCCGCGUUGGAUUAGCUAGUUGGUAGGGUAAAAGCCUACCAAGGCGACGAUCAAUAACUGGUCUGAGAGGAUGAUCAGCCACACUGGGACUGAGACACGGCCCAGACUCCUACGGGAGGCAGCAGUGGGGAAUAUUGGACAAUGGGCGAAGUCCUGAUCCAGCAAUGCCGCGUGAGUGAUGAAGGCCUUAGGGUUGUAAAGCUCUUUUACCCGGGAUGAUAAUGACAGUACCGGGAGAAUAAGCUCCGGCUAACUCCGUG